Molecule: long non-coding RNA, 564 nt
Organism: Triticum aestivum (bread wheat)
Lineage: Eukaryota; Viridiplantae; Streptophyta; Magnoliopsida; Poales; Poaceae
Exons: 3
Source: RefSeq, a predicted model, not a curated record
CCGGCAUGCGCGCCGCCGCCCUCUGGCCAUCGCCGGCAUCCCGCUCGAACCCGUGGACCCGAGGAAGAUGGAUUCGAUGGAUGAUGGGAAGGAGCAGUGGCUGCCUCGUGGUGACCUCGAUACUGCUACUGAUGGAGCCUGAUGCCCGCGACUAUACCUCCUAAGUCGGAGGCGGCGUACCAUGUGUCGACUGCCCUGAACCCUGGUCCUCAUGAUCACGUCAACCAACAGGGUCAACGACAAGGAUGCUUCUGAUGUAGUAGGUCUGGAUGCGACACCUUUCCUGAAUUUGCUUAUGUAUGAUGCAUUUCAUAGUGUUUCUUCUAUCACGGUAACAAGAAUCUCUACCUACUUUAUUGGUGUAUGGUCAAUGUAUUGGUGAGAAAUUGAGGUUGAAUACCAAUAUACGCACAUACAGAAGCAAUGGUUGAUGACAACAACAGCCUUGUAGCUUCAGGAGUGGAGCAUGGAGGAGGGCUCUGUAUUGUGGCGGGGAAGGAGAGGAGGAACUGUGCAUCCGGGAAUGGCGCGACCGCCGAUCCUAUUUGUUGCUCUAUUGUCCGA